Molecule: ribosomal RNA, 440 nt
Filed under: uncultured bacterium
Lineage: Bacteria
Description: bacterial SSU rRNA
Rfam family: Bacterial small subunit ribosomal RNA
Source: RNAcentral
CCUACGGGAGGCAGCAGUGGGGAAUUUUGGACAAUGGGCGAAAGCCUGAUCCAGCAAUGCCGCGUGUGUGAAGAAGGCCUUCGGGUUGUAAAGCACUUUUGUCCGGAAAGAAAUCCUUGGCUCUAAUACAGUCGGGGGAUGACGGUACCGGAAGAAUAAGCACCGGCUAACUACGUGCCAGCAGCCGCGGUAAUACGUAGGGUGCGAGCGUUAAUCGGAAUUACUGGGCGUAAAGCGUGCGCAGGCGGUUUGCUAAGACCGAUGUGAAAUCCCCGGGCUCAACCUGGGAACUGCAUUGGUGACUGGCAGGCUAGAGUAUGGCAGAGGGGGGUAGAAUUCCACGUGUAGCAGUGAAAUGCGUAGAGAUGUGGAGGAAUACCGAUGGCGAAGGCAGCCCCCUGGGCCAAUACUGACGCUCAUGCACGAAAGCGUGGGGAGCA